GUACCAAGAUGGCGGCUCCCAGAAGCUUGGCUCUAUGGAACUAUUGCAGUCGUAGGUGGUGGCGGGUGAUGCGGGGCUGUCAGCUCCUCGGGCUUCGUGGUUCUUGGCCCCAAAGAGAAGCAGGUAACGGAAACUCACUUUGGGUUUCAGACUGUGUCGGAAGAGAAAAAGUGGGGCAAAGUCCAUCAGGUGUUUGAAAGUGUGGCUAAGAAGUAUGAUGUGAUGAAUGAUAUGAUGAGUCUUGGUAUCCAUCCUCUUUGGAAGGAUUUACUGCUCUGGAAUAUACAUCCACUUCCUGGGACCCAGCUGCUUGAUGUUGCUGGAGGCACAGGUGACAUUGCAUUCCGGUUCCUAAAUUAUGUUCAGUCCCAGCAUCAGAGAAAACAGAAGAGUCAGUUAAGGGCCCAACAAAGUUUAUCCUGGGAAGAAAUUGCCAAAGAGUACCAGAAUGAAGAAGAUUCCUUGGGUGGGUCUCAUGUCAUGGUGUGUGACAUCAACAAGGAGAUGCUAAAGGUUGGAAAGCAGAAAGGAUACAGAGCUGGACUUGCAUGGGUAUUAGGAGAUGCCGAAGAACUUCCCUUUGAUGAUGACAAGUUUGAUAUUUACACCAUUGCCUUUGGGCUUCGGAAUGUCACACACAUUGAUCAGGCACUCCAGGAAGCCCAUCGGGUACUGAAACCAGGAGGACGGUUUCUGUGUCUGGAAUUUAGCCAAGUGAACAAUCCCCUCAUAUCCAGGCAUUAUGAUCUAUAUAGCUUCCAGGUCAUCCCUGUCCUGGAGAGGUCAUUGCUGGAGACUGGAAGUCCUAUCAAUACCUUGUAGAGAGUAUCCAAAUGUUCCUGUCUCAGAAAGAGUUCAAGGAGAUGAUAGAAGAUGCAGGCUUUCACAAGGCCACUUAUGAAAGUCUAACAUCAGGCAUUGUGGCCAUUCAUUCUGCCUUCAAACUUUAAUUCCUUUCUAAUCAUGGAGCAUGAACCAAUUACACCCUGUUGAAAGCCUGGAACU
Callithrix jacchus (white-tufted-ear marmoset) is the source of this 1005-nucleotide non-coding RNA. Lineage: Eukaryota; Metazoa; Chordata; Mammalia; Primates; Cebidae. The record is from RefSeq and is a predicted model, not a curated record.